AAAGCUGUUGACCGAAACACACACGAAAGAAAACGGUAUUACUUGAUUCUUCACACAUACAAACGUUGGAUGAUUUUUAACUCUGCUCUCCACUGUCAUACCUUUGAAUCCUGGCUGAGGAAGAGCAAGACCUGGAGUCAUCUCAACUAAUGAUACUCUGUGACUGACUCAUCAAAAAGAGAGUAUAGCUGCCACAUACAACUGGUGGAUGAGUUCCUGGUGAAAACAAAGUCCUUCAGAGAAGCAAUAACAUGAACAUGACUUCUACUGGUUAUUUGAGCCAGUGACAUCUGGACACUGAGAAGAUAUUUAGUUCACCAAUACCCCUCUCUCACAUCGAUACAGGAAGCAUGCUUUCAGUAUCAACUGUUCUUAUUUAAUAUAAUGCACUCCAUUGUCU
This 400-nucleotide long non-coding RNA is filed under the name Dromaius novaehollandiae (emu). Its description in RNAcentral is "lncRNA (ENSDNVG00000010969.1)". Lineage: Eukaryota; Metazoa; Chordata; Aves; Casuariiformes; Dromaiidae. The record is from RNAcentral.